CAGCUCACCUUCAUCGUUUAACAAACUUGGCAAACGUAAGCGAUCUGAUGAAUGCAGAAAGAAGUGUAGAUCAAACUUCAGAAGCUCCGUGCUUAAAAACUAUACAAAUUUCAGCAAAAGUGGGCUUCCUCAGCGAUUUCUAUACUAUGAAUCUGGGGACUGGAUAGACUAUCCUCAUGGAGUUGUUGACUUGGUCAGGGAGCACUUUCGACAGAAAAAUGCAGUUAUAAAUGUGGAUUGGAACGGCUGCCGUUUGUUGCUAGAUAUUCUGUUUAUGAUACAGGUGGAAAUUAAAACUGGUCAAGCGAAGCAAAUUGCUUGGAUUGAUGAAGCAGGUUGUUGUUUCUUUCCGGAGAUCCUUUCCUGUCAUUUAGAAAAAGAAAAGUACUGCCAUUCUGAGUUACAGAGUGAUUCACCUUAUGUGCUGAAAGAAGCCAAAGGGCCCCAAGAGAUCACAUUGAAGCUUGAGAUUGGAAUAACGGGAUUGAGUAGCUCCAAUACAGAGGAAUGUGUUGAGGAGUCGAAUAGUCCUGCUAAGAGGAUAAAAAUUGAACAAAACUCUUUUGGUAGUCGAGAUGAUAGGGAAAAUGACUAUUGCAACCAAAUAUCAGAUGCCCAAAUGCAGGAAAUCAAUAAGGGAACUCGACAGUUCGAUGAAAACAUAUUGCCCGAGUCGCCAGUUCUGGAGCAAACAUUGGACUCUAAUUCAGUACGAGACAUGUUUAAUCAGGGCAUUGGUUCCUCUGUGAGUGCAUGUAUAGUAGAGAUUAAGCACUGCACUAAUGAUUUGAUGCAAGCAAGAGCUGAGCUGUUCCAUAAGCAGGUUGAAAUAACUAAGAAGUACCGCGGGAAUCCAAAUGUCCAAUAUGGUUGGAUGGCUGUUACUAAAGAUGCCCUAUCCAACAUCAUGCUUUAUGGGCUUGGUCAUGGUAGACCCAUGAUUAUGUCCACAUAUGGCAUUGGAGUUCACUUGACAUCUCUUAAUCAAGCCGAUAUCAGGUUUGCACAUAUAUUCUAUCUUUAAAUUCAUUUAUCAUGUUAAGAGAAUCUAGUAUAAGUAAGAUGCAGAUUUCAACUACCAUAGAAUCAUCUAUGGUGUUUAAUUUUGUUCAUUAGAUGUGGAGUAUUAGUACUGUACUUUUGUGCCCUCCCGCCCUAAAAAAGACAAUUUCUUUUUUCUGAGAUCCAGAUUUUGGUGCUGUAGUGAAGUUCUAUUUCUUGCUCUCUGUUUUGAGGAUAUAUUAUAUGUAUAUCUGUGUGUGUGUAAUUUGUAGUUUGCUUUGUCAGAGGUUUUACUACUUGUUAUCUUGACAGUGCAAGUUACUGUGAUGAUGACGAUAAUGGGGUGAGGUACAUAAUGUUAUGCCGUGUUAUCAUGGGAAAUGUCGAAUUGGUCAAUCCUGGAUCUGGACAGUGCCAUCCCAGUUCUAUACAAUAUGAUAGUGGAGUUGAUGACCUUCAAAAUCCACGCCAUCUAAUAGUUUGGAGUAUGAACAUGAACACCCAUAUUUUUCCAGAGUAUGUUGUCAGUUUCAAGACAUCUUCGAAAGCUGAAGGUGGUAUAUCUAUCCUCAUAUACUUGUUCCUUGUUUGAUUUUCUGGAGUGAUUCUUGCACUCACAGAUCUCCAUCUGCACGCCUUUUUUGUUUUUGCUCUUCAAUUGUUCUUAUUUCCAACCGUGCUCCUAGUCUCAGAAUGUUCUAUCACAAGUACCCAUCUAACAUUGCUGCCACGCUCAACUACAUGAAACUGAAUACGGUCAGUUAGAAAUGAAGGUGGGAUGAACACCUGAAAUCAAUAGGUGUUAAUAGCUAUAAUGACAAUCUGGAACUAUGUAGUGGUGCUCACUUGACAGUUGACAGUUGAUGAUCCCCAGCCAGUAAGUAUGAAUUUAGACCUAGGGUCUUUCUUCUAAUCAACCUAGAAUGAGUCUAUAGUUGCUCAGAUUAGGGAGUGGUCAUUGAUUUUUGGGUUAUUCGAACCUCUUUGAUCAAAUCACUGAGAGGAAAAAAAAAGAAAAGAAGGCGGCAUACUAUGGCAGUGUUAAGUUGGUUUCAUGUAAAGUUAAAACAUGUUAGAACACUGAAACUCAAAGAUUGACUGUUGAAAUAAGAAUAAUUGAAAGGUAGUGCAGAUGGAGAUGUGGGAAGUGUGAAAAUCACUCCUUUUAUUUCUGGAGCCAAAUUCAUUUUUGAAAAUAGUAAUUUGAAGAAAUAUGGACUUGAUUGCAUUUUUUUUUCAAUAUCCUAUUCAAGUAGCUUCUGAUAAUGCAGUCAGAAGGUUUGAAGCAGGCUGUGCAAUCUUUUUAUUUGGUCAUGCUAUCUCCAUACUUAUGAAAUAGGCUAUCCUUUCUCUUUGUACAUCUACGUAUGACUUGUCACUUGCUGGUCCAAAUCUCUGGUGGGUUUUUCACUUACUGGGGACCUCUUGGUUCAUGAAAACCUUUCUUUCGAUCAAUUUUGCUUAGAAAAUGCAAGUAUUGGACCACUAGAACUUUUUGUUGCUACUACAGGGACCAUGGUUACAGAAAGCAGAGGUCCUCUGUCUGGAAUUACAACUAGUGAUGAAUGUCGAGGCCAAUUGCAGUUCAACUGCUCCCCAAUGGAAUCAGUAAGUCCUCCAUUGCGUUGAAACUUAAGCUUAUUGUUUUCUAUUCCGCCUCAUAAUAUCAUCUUCAUCUUGUUUGCAAGAAUGUUAAACAUUGGCGUUAUUUGCAACUUUGCUUUAGUAAAUUGAUGCACAAAUAAUUUGUUGUGCCUAUCCAACAUUAAAGGACUUCUGAUGUUGGUAGUGUAGACGGCUGAAACUGCCUUAACUUCCAUUCAUGAAGCCAUAACUGUUCUGUGAUAUCUAGAAGGCAUCAAAUCCCAUAAUUAUUCUCCUUUAUUCUCUUUCUCUCUCUCUCUCNNNNNNNNNNNNNNNNNNNNCUUCUUCUCUUCUCUCUCUCUCUCUCUCUCUCUCUCUCUCUCUCUCUCUCUCUCUCUAUCUAUAUAUAUAUAUAUAUUCUGGCAAUUCUCUUUCUGGUGCGCCUUCAGACGAAACCUAAGAUCACCCAUCUUCUUGCCUUGGCUUCUCUUAAUAUUGAAGCAGAAUGUGAGGCUUACUUUGAAUCUUUCUUUAUAGACUUGAGCUAUGGCAAGAUGAUAGUUGUAUUAGGUUAUUUGGCAUUGGAUUCUACUAGUGUUAGCCAAAGGAUGUUUGCUUUGGAAUACUUUCGUGUCAGGUUCAAUGACAUGUAGAAUUUACUAGUGUUGAGUCAAAGUGUGGAAUUCUGUUGGUAUACUCUCAGUGUUUCAGUUCAUUUUUUUUGUAUAACUUAUUUAGCAAUUAUGCAUAAGGAUCUACAAGUUGUAUUCUUGAGGUUUUGCUCUCCUUUGUCACUUUUCUGAAUACUUUUUGAUACUUUCAAUGCUUUUUCUGUAGGGGAGGCGUUCUAGGCCAGCUUUAGAAUCCAAGGGAUCACAGGAAAAGCCUGUUGGAAUUGGCUCAAGCUCUUUGGCAGGUCCGAAAUCCCCAUGGAUGCCAUUUCCAGCAUUAUUUGAAGCUAUUUCAAAAGAAGUUGCUCCGAACGAUAUGAAAUUGGUUAAUGUUCACUAUGACCUAUUCAGGGUAUGUAAUUUUGGAUUCUUAGUAUUUAGAUCUUAGUGAAAAUUUCGUUUAUCAUGAUUCUUUCUCUUGUCGGUCACUUAUUAGAGCAAGAAGAUCAGCCGGGAAGAUUUUAUUCAGAAGUUAAGAGCAAUUGUUGGAGAUUCCUUGCUGAGGUCAACCAUAAUAAGCCUUCAGUGCAAGGUAAUGUCAUCUUUAAUGAUGUUAGAUACAUACUUGAUCAGUUCAUGUGGAGCAAUGUCAUGCGUUGUGUAUGUUUGUGGCUGGCCUGUGGAAAACAAGCUCUGACUUGCUUUCACAGUUAAUUUGGCACCCAUAUUUGGCUGGCUUCCCUUUGGUUGGUAUUUUUCAUGAUUUUUGCUUGUAGUUGUAUUCAAUGCUUGCCCUCAUCCCUUUGCCAGGGAGUCUUCUUCAUUCAGGAAGUUUUUUCUUGGAAUCUGUGAAUUCUUAGUUUCGUUACAUGUUUAUAAUUUAUUUAAAAUGAACAAAUUCAUAGCAACUCAUCUCUGAAAGGGAACAAUAUAGAGGUUGUCUGAUGAGUAAUUUAUAUAAAUGGAAUUUAUAUUUAUUAACUUAUGACUGUUCAUUUUGCACAGCUGCCACCAAUCUCUGCAAUCCCUAUGAAACCGCCAAAGCAGGGAGGAGAAUUUGAUGCCGCUUGAUUUGUUAAAUGGUGGUUGGAUCUCUGACUGUCGUUGGGGUCUGGCUGAUGUUUGGUAAGGUUGCUGCUCUCCUAAUGUGUCGACAUGAUGCAAACCAUAUUACCAUUUGACAGAUGGAUAUGGCUUUGUUGGAUUUUUGUCUAUUUAUGCUUUGUACUGAAACUCUGGUUUGAACUCUGGAGUGUAAAGCUGAAUUGGAUUGUAAACUGGUCACUGAUCAUUGUUAGUUCUAGUUUUCUAGCGAAUUUCGGGAAUUUUGAAAUUUCAAAUCUAGUAAAAUCCAUCUGUUUAAUGUCUGUUGGAAAAUGUCCUUUCCUUCUCAAUGAUUCUUACUGGAUCCCUUGGGAAAUUAUAUUGAAUAAUUAGUUAAAGUCUAGAGUGAUCUGAACUUAAGCCAAUAUACUGCCCUGAGAAUUCCUACAAAAAAGCAGCCUUGUAUGUGAGUGCUUAUUUGGCUGUAUGCCAAUCUGAAUUUGAACAUCAGAUUGUUGCCUGAAUUCAAUAUUUUCCUUAAUUUGACCUUUAUAGAUCGUUCGAAUAUGUUUAGUGGUAUGGGGUUAUUGGUGAAUGUGAUUGGUAGUAGGUACACAUGCUUUAGUGUAACUACUACGAUGCGCAGAUAUUGAUUUGGGGUGCAGUAUGAAUGAAACCAAUUACCUAUACAAAGCCAAAUCAUCCCUUGGUCCUAACUCCUGACCCAGAUUUGCAAAUCUUUUUGAACCAGGGAUGUGAGGAUUUGAACUCCAGCUUCGUUUACAUUUCAUUUUUUUUCGUGGUUAGUUUAUCUGUUUUAUUAGAUGAAAUUAAACAAGACAGUGCAUCUAUUUUUUUUUUUUUUUUUCUAGUAAGAUACGUCAAGUUUAUUGAUACAAAAACAUUAUCUUGAUAUUAGUCUCUAAAAAGGGAGGUGAGAAGAGAAAAACAUGGUUUAUUAUAGUGCAUAAAGCAUUUUUGCAGAAUGUUUCAUGUCAUGAUCAUUCAUUCUUCAUGAUCAUUAUGCUUGAAGUAUAAGUGGUGUAUUCCAUUAUUUCAGUUUCAUGCCCAGACUUCGAAAGUAUCAGAACCAUAUUGUUCAAAUGAUUCAAAUUAAUCGGGUUCUCGUUAAUAAACCAGAAUGAUCAGGUAGCGAGCCAAGCAUCCAAUAAGUCUGAACUCUGAAGCUGCUCGUCGAAAAAAAAAAACACAAGUCUGAAGCUUGACCGGUUCUCUAGAUUUGGCAUUUGAGAACACUGGCCACUGGGACUAAGAAUGAUCAGAUGUCAACCAUCGCACAUAGAAGACAUGCUCCAAAGUGUAAUUCAGUACAGUUUUGGAAAAGAGAAUUAGCACGUAUUGCUUGCAAACAAGGUGACAACUCACAAAUAUGCUUCGAUAAUAUAUGCAGUUGUAGCGAUACAGUUUAUGCCUACAUUUUAGAUGCAAAACUAGGGAACUCAUCAGAAAUAUUUUCAAUAAUGCAGCAGUGUCGUUAUUACUGUAAUGUUGAACUUUUCUCCCCUAACAUGGUCUAACCGUAAUUCGUUGAGGCAUUUGCACGAGCAGGACAUCCAUUUGCAAAACCCAUCAUCUAUGGUAAGUUGGUAACAUUUCUCAACACCAAGUUUUGGAGAUUAUUAUGAGAAACUAAGGUGGGUGCUCUAAGAAUUGUAUCUGUGUUGAUGAAUAGAGACCUCAAAUAUCCAGAAAAGUAGAUACAAGAUGGCAAUUCUAGCAUCACCCCUAUCUGAUAUGUGCAGUCUCAAUUGAAGCUCAAGCACUUCAACAUUACACCUUAAUGCAAUAUGGAUCCAGAGAGACCUGCAUAGAAGUUCCAAUCGAUACGAAAUCGCUGUAUCCUAUUAGCCCCAUGAAGAAUCAUGAACCUAUCUAUAGAAUUCAACAGUUUAAACGGAUCCUGCCUGUUUAUUGCGAUAUAGAAACCUCUGCAUCUUUUGGACACGCUGCCCACUUGAACGACUUGUCGAAAACUGAAGCCUGACAGUUUGUGAUGAGCCAAAUUGUUGGGUAGAUUACUAAAUCUAUCGACUACUCUUCCUACAGGCUCCUGGAGCUUGAGAACUUGCAGUUGCAAAUAACAUAGUCCGUGGUACCUGGUUUCUCUAUGUUCCUGUGGGAGAAAUUAACACCUACUAGUUUCAAAGGACAUGAGAUCAAAACUUGUAUAAAUACAUGGUGCCUAAGACCAUUUAAAUAUCUAAACUCUAUAUGCUCUAUUAUAUUUCACAUUUUAUGAGUCCAUAUUUAAGCACCUCUAAACAGGCACACAACAAGAAAACUGUAAUGAGAGGGAGGAAACUAUCAGUUGAAUCAAAUGCAAAUUGAGGAGCCAAAAAAGGACAAGAAAAUCGUAAAAUUAAUAUAAAUAAAGGGGACAUUAUGAAAAUGAAUGCAAAUUUAAGUACAGCUAACCCUUUACAGGUUUCCUGGUUGGUUAAUAGAACUACUCAAUUCCAAGAUAUCAACAAAAGUUUACACUGAAGCAGCUGCAAUUUAUCUCGACAAGAACCCAUAUUCUGAAAUUGCAAUCUCAAAUGCUUGAAUCCUUUCCCCGGUAGCAAAGCCAUUGCGAUCAUAAGACGAUAUUUCACCUAUGUUGAGAUCACUGCAGACUUGAAUCAACUUCUCGCCAACGCGUUUAGCAGCUUCAGCGGUACUACAAUUGGGAUCCUGACGGAUAGAUUUCUGCAGUGUGCUUCCAUAAAACAAACACUUGUUGUUCUGGUCAUCUACCAGCAUAGCAUACAAUUGUUUGUCUGAACAGAAGACCGAAAGCCUCGGCUUCGUGGGCGUGCCGUUGUACUUCUUCUGCAUUCUUCUGUUUCGAGUUUUUGCACUUUCAGUUCUGGCAGGCUGCCUCGCUCUCAUUACUACCGACUUCAUGGAGAAUUUUCUUAUAGUCUGCAAAACUUGAAAGUUGGAAGUUGCAGAACGACUCCCUAAAAGAGCAGAAGACAUAAACUGGAGAGCAGCAACGUUCACUAGAGCCAUACCUCCACCCUGCAAAUUGGGUAUCAUUGAAAACAAACGAAAAUCUGCGAAAAUUGCAAAGCAAGUUCAUUGAGACAUUUCAUCGAGCACCUUAUGGGUCCAGUUAUGAUGCAUUAAAACAUUCUUUGCAUAAAGCUCUACGAAAGUUGGACGCUUUGUCUGUGACCAGAAUGGUGGCAGCAGCUUACCAACAAGCACACAUCAAUCAUAAGCUUGUAGAUCACUUAUGAAUUCAGUUCAAUAAGCUAACACUUAAACGCAGUUUCACAAAGAAGAAAACUUGGGGACCAGACAAACCAACCCAAGUCCAUAUGCAAUGGAUGUAAACAAAGUGAUCAAAUUUCCAAAUUUGUUAGUUAUCUACUUUAGGGUAAUUGCUAGCAUCUAAUCUCUUUUAGGGUAGAGUGUUUGUCUAAAGAAAAAGCAUCCAUAAGUAAAUUUCAGGUUUUAUAUGCAAAAGGAGUAACACAUAGACAAGGAUAAGAUGCGGAAAGCAAGGUAUUUAAAACAGUAAUACUGAAACAAACGUGCUGCUCGUUUAUAAAGAACUCAUAGGAUCCACAAACAACCUAACAAGUAAAAACAAUCAAAACAUUCUUUUGCUCCUACCCACGUCACAGUCAUUUUAUGAUGCAAAACCACAAAAAGAAAGAAUCAAGCUUGCAGUAACUUCAAAUGUUCCAUUUCUGUUUCUUAGCUAGAUGAAAAAUCAAAGUCUACACAAAUUCCAAAACCUCUCAUUUUGAAACUCGCUGCUGAGUCAAGCUGAACAUGAGCCUACGCUUGAUGAUCCAACUUAAUGGAUUCACGUCUGUUCAAGGAAAACUCAAGGAACCCUGAAAAGCUGCACUUGAGCUGAGCAUGCAGGAAGAUACCAAAUUUGUGAAGCAGACAGAUGACAAUGCCAUAUGAGCUCUUUAAAACAGUUGGCCCAUGAUUCGAGCUCCAACUUUUGUACUGAAGAAAAGUGUCGGGAAUAUAUUUCAAAUCAUCAACUCUCUUAUUUUUCAUUAUAACUUGGCCUGAUUGCGCGGCAGUGUAGCAUCCAAAAGCCAAACUCUAAUUGUGAUGAUUGUAUAAAUCCCACUUGUAUGACAUGGCUAUACUUCUGGCAUAUAGAACUGAUAAUUUGAUGGAAGUCAUUUCUCACUACACCUUCCCAUUCCUCUAAAUGUUGUUCUACACAUGCAUUUGAAUAUGAAUGCCAACAAAAGAUAGCGAAGAUAGAUAACAAGAGUUCAGGGUCAACAUGAUUUGCAGCGUCAGUGCUGACCCUAGAGCUCACAGUAACCAAAAGAUUAGAUUCAGUUCAGAGGAAGUUGCCCACAAUGUCAGAACAUAUGAAGCUUCUUAAACCAAUGACAUUCCUGAUGGGUAUUAGGAACGAUAUAUUAGAGAUUAUCAGGUUCAUAUCAACUUUGAUAUAUCUCUAAUGAUCGAAGACCAACACUUAGUUAUUCAACCAAUAAAUCCAAGAACUCAAACUUAAGUUGCUUAGCCUUAAACAAUCAAUGGAUGAAGGAAUAAAAAUAAAAUAAAAUAAAUUUAAAUAGUCUCACAUGCAUUUCAUCAAACAGGUGGUGAGCAACAAUAUCAGUUUGUCAAAUGCAUUCUUACACAUAAUACUGUCAAGGACUGGGUCAUUGAUGGUUCAGAAUCACAAAACGUAAACAGAAACGAAGAAAAGCAAAAACCCAGAAAGCCCCAGAACUGAAAACACUACCUGGAAUCAAAAAAAGAUUGGCAAAAAAAUUUGGACCAUUUCUCGAUUUAUGCGUGUCAUCCUUGCGCAGGGGCCAUGCUAAUCUUCUCUGUAUCGUUCCAAUUUUAUCGGAUGUCCCCGAAGGGACGAGCUCUACUGUCAUGUCUUCCAAAAUAAACAGCCUUCUGUUUUCGCUUUUCUGCGAUGUGGGAUCAUAACAAAAGCACGUGGGCCUCACGUGUCGUCUCUCUCAAAGCGCAAUUGUAUGGGACUAUUGAAGGGGAUAGACAAGUAACCGUAACUUCACCAUGACCAAUGGCUUCUGAUGGAAAUCAUCCCCUUCUUUUUGUUCUUUCUGUUUGGAUUUAGGAAUCAAGAGCUUUAAAUCCCUGUCACAAAAGUUUGGUCUUAGCUGCUUGGAACUGAUCAUGAGUAAGAUUGUGUUUCGCUUCUGUAGCCUAAAACUUAACCAGUAUUGCUCUACAUAUUCAUAAGUUAGAAACAGAAUCAGACUCUGCUAGUCUUGUGUUCAAAUCUGCAACUCUUGAUCUUCACCUUCUUGGUACCCUCGUCUUGAAGUAUGGAGCAAUUUGAUACUUGCGGGUAUAAGCAUAUUCGUAACUCAUAAGGGAUGUACAUGCAUACAAGUAGCUGAAAUCCUUGCUAAGGAUUCAACACUCUUCGGGUGUCCGCACUUUCACUUCCCCUCCUGCCAAGGUAGUUGAAGCCUUGUUCUUUGGUGUAGCUAGACACAAAUAGCCGAGUAGUUGCCUUUCCUGUUCUUCUCUAUUUGAUGGGUAGGUGACUAGUUGCCUUCAUUCAAAAAAAAAAAAAAAAAAAGUUUCUUUUCUGGAUGAAAAAAUAGUGGCCGAGCGAGCUAUAGGUCUAGGCCGGAGCGAGCUUUAGGUAUGACCUUUCUCAAAAGAAUCUUUCCACAAGAUGAGGUUGACUAUUUUGCAGUCCGACUUGCUUCCAUUAGACCAGUCUUAUUAAACAAGAAUACAAUUUUUUUUUUAUAAUUCUUUUAGAUGAAUGCGAUAACUGAUAUUAAAUUAUAACUAAGAUGUAUAUAGAGUGAUUCAGAAAUAUCAUAACAAGAUACACAAAAUUAUCUAUAACAAGAAAAAACAAUAAAAGAAAACAAAACGCAUGAAUACAUCUAAAAUGAUAUAUAACCAUAGAACUGUACAUGGCCCUUCCAAUGAGGGAUCCCUAUUUUAAGCCAUUUAUAGGGAUAGGGCAUUACACCAACUUCCCGACUAUAAUUUUACAUCUCCACCGUUCAUAUCUUAGGUCUAUAUGAGUAGAUCAUCUCUACAAAAUUUCAUAUGAUUUGGUGAUCGUUAAGACUUUCAAAAGUUCAAUUUAGUUUUAAUGACCUUCAACGGUUUAGUUUGACNNNNNNNNNNNNNNNNNNNNACCUUCAACGGUUUUAGUUUGACAUAAGCUGGACCGUUCAAGAUCAUUAAAACUAAAUCAAACUUUUGAAAGCCUUAACGAUCACCAAAUCAUAUGAAAUUUUGUAGAGGUGAUCUACUCAUAUAGACCUAAGAUAUGAACGGUGGAGAUGUAAAAAUUCAAUUGGGAAGUGGUGUAAUGCCCUAUCCCUAGAAAGUGGCCAAAAAUAGGGAUCCCUCAAUGGAAGGGGGCUGUAGAACUGUAUGCCUAUUGAUGCAUUAUAUAUGUCAUGAAAGCUAGUGUAAGUGUAGGAAUAACUGUAACCAUGAUCGUUACCAGAACCAAGGAGAUACAACCAUUACGACAUUUUAUAACUACUUAGUAUUUAUAAUAAAUUUUCACAACACGUAACAUUUCACUGUCUUAUUAUAAAUAAUUCACAUGACAAACACCUGUUUUAUGUUUUAUUGACACCACUUUUAUUCCACAAUGACAUUUCUAUUUAUACUUUCACUGGUUUGUCCCCACGUCUCAAAAAUAUAAUUAAAUUUUUAUUUUGCAAUUUUUGAACACCGCCUUGUGCAACACACACCUUGGGCAACACACCAAUGCGAACCUUCCAUAAUACACUUUCACCCGCACGAUCAACUCAACGGCUCCGAUUCAGCGGUUUAUACAACUAAAAGAGAGACCCACCGCCUCCUACAAUACCCUAUGAGAAGAAUAUUGGAGAAAUCAGAAAUUGCUAAGUUGGUUCGGUAGGCUUAACUUUAGCCUCACGUUCUCAAAAGUCGAAACGUUUCUUCGCUGGCUUCAAAUCAAACUAGGUUUUCUGAGCCUCCUUUGAUUCUCAGUCUUUAGGGCUUUUGUUCAAUUUCACUGGAUCACUUCAGGUCCUUCCUUCUUUUUUCUGUAUGGACUUUUUUUUGUUGUUGAUUUUUUAGAUCCAUCUAAGGGCUCUGAUCUUGGUACUAGUUUGAUUAUUCUUUGACGUUUUGAAUUUGGAAUCACUGAUUGUUGUGUUGCAAUUAAUUAUCGUUCUGAAAUUGUAUUGCUGCAAUCAGAUUCGAAUUCAUUUUUUGUUUUUUUUGUUUUUGCUUUUAGUAUUUGACUUUGGUGAUUUUAAGGAUUCAGAAUGUAAAUCCAGUUCUAACAACUUGAUUUUAGACAAGUUAAUUAUUAUGUGAAUAAUUAUGGUUUCUGAUUUAACUGUUGAAUUUCAUGAUAGACUCGUAUAAUUGAAACUGAGAAAUUACUCUUCAUUUUAAUGGUUUUGGCUUCAGUCUGUAUGAUUUGUUAGAAUUCGUACUCAUGGUGCUGUCUUCUUUGCAGGUUUUAUAUUCAGAUUCACCGUAUUUGGGUAGUCAAACUCAUCUACAGAACUUUCAAGCUCACCUCACAAAAUUACUGAAUACAACUAGUGGUAGAAUAGAUGUGUGAGUGAUUUUAUAUUAUUUUAUAUUUUUUUAAAUUUACUUCAUAUCAGUGUAUUACAUAGAGAUUUUUCACUGAGGGUGUGUUUUGAUUGUUUCAGGAUCGAUACAGUUAAUUGGUAGGAGAAACAAAUAGAGGUAGUUUCUCUUGAUUGGUGUUUUUCUUCCUGCAUUUGAUAAUUUUUAAUUCUUAUCUUCUUUAGUGGGUUCUGUUUCAGUCAUUGCAAGAAGAAUUACCAUUUUCUGGUUACUCGCACAUAUACGUUGUUCAGAAACAUGACUUGUACGAUAUGUCCUGCUACUACAGAAUACGGUACGGUUUUGUGUGUUUCUUUUUCCUAUGGUUCUGUUGUUUAUAUUUGCUUCUUUCACUUAAGAAGGGGAAGUACUUCUAUAUUCUUGUGCCUGAUUUUGAACCGACACUCGAAGUUAGAAUAUUGAACUUCUGUGUUGUAAAAGAUGUUAUACAUAUAAAACGUGCAACUUAUCAUUAUAAAUUGCUUGGGUGUUAAAGGCAUCAUGUUUCACCUGUUUCUUUUAAUCAUUGGUGGUGGUCGGAAAUACCCAGCUUUUCUUUGCCUUUUUUAUGUAGUGAGGUCAAUAAAAGUUAUUAUCUUUGACCUGUAUUAUGGAACUGGACGUGUAGCAUGAAAAGAUAUAUGAUUAAGCUCACCAGUAAAUACUCUUACAUGCAGAUUUUACCUUCUGGUAAAUGAAUUAGAAUUAGUAUAAUGAGAGAUGCUAUAUCUUAAAUGCAGGCUAUGCAAAUUUGUCUCCAUGGAACAAUUUCUCCAUUCCCGGAACUGAAGAAAAGUAUUGUACAUUGUUUUUAGAGCAUUUAGGAUUUAGUCUGUAAAUAGGGCUUUUCCGUAUAGAUAAAUGGAAACAGACAGGGUUAAGGUCUUGGAUGAUGACCACCACAAAAUAGUUGUCAAUUUGAAGGGGAAAAGGGCAACAAAUAGUGCAGCACUUAUAGUCGGAGCUAGUCGCCCAGUGUUGUCUCGACAGUCCAGCUCACCUUCAUCGUUUAACAAACUUGGCAAGCGUAAGCGAUCUAAUGAAUGCAGAAACAAGUGUAGAUCAAACUUCAGAAGCUCCGUGCUAAAAAACUAUACAAAUUUCAGCAAAAGUGGGCUUCCUCAGCGAUUUCUAUACUAUGAAUCUGGGGACUGGAUAGACUUUCCUCAUGGAGUUGUUGACUUGGUCAGGGAGCACUUUCGACUGAAAAAUGCAGUUAUAAAUGUGGAUUGGAACGGCUGCCAUUUGUUGCUAGAUAUUCUG
This 13070-nucleotide long non-coding RNA is filed under the name Fragaria vesca (wild strawberry). Its description in RNAcentral is "long non-coding RNA (FVES_LNC002510)". Lineage: Eukaryota; Viridiplantae; Streptophyta; Magnoliopsida; Rosales; Rosaceae. The record is from RNAcentral.